Lagopus muta (rock ptarmigan) is the source of this 12936-nucleotide RNA transcript. It is a transcript of the gene named protein tyrosine phosphatase non-receptor type 5, with no coding region annotated. NCBI's taxonomy places the organism in Eukaryota, Metazoa, Chordata, Aves, Galliformes, Phasianidae. The transcript is spliced from 20 exons. The record is from RefSeq and is a predicted model, not a curated record.
CGCCUCUGUCUGGCGGAGGGGUCCGCGCCGCCGGCGGCGCGCGCGUGUGUACUUGUGUCUGCCAGGGGCCGCCGCUGCGGGGAGAGGCGCGAGGCAAGUCGUGACGGCUUCAAUGGCCGUAGCGGCUCCGGGCGGCCGCUGAGCGGCGGGUGCGGCGCGCUGCGGGGCUGAAGGCUUCGCGGGGCGGGGGGUGCGCGGCGCUCGGAGGACCGCCGACCCCGCCCCGCCGCAGCGAGCGGCUCUGCCUUUGUGCUUCCUCCGCACCUGAGGUGCGAUGCCGGGAGGGGAGAUCAUGUUUCAUUAAAAGUGCUGACGAGAACCCAGAACUCUGAAGACAGCGGUUUUGUGCAAGAUAAGAAUGUUAGAAUGUUCCUUAAAGAAGCUGAUGGAGGAUAGAGCUCUGGCAGUGCAAGAUGACACCAUGAUAUAGUCUGAAAUUCUGCUGCAUUUGAGCAAAUCCUCACUUGCUGCAGCCUAGGACUUCUCUACUCUGCUGUCAUUGCUGUUCUUUCCAUUGCAUCAAAGGUGAUUCGCAGUCAGUAAAAGCAGGUCUUUACAAUCCAGCUGUGAUGGAGUCAAUGGGUGAAACUCAAGAGCAACAAGAACAGCUGAACAGGAAGGAGCAGUCGCUGAAAACCACCCAGAAAACUGCACUGCUUGCUUGGGCUGCCUGGUGGAAUGGAUUAAUGACUGGAGACAGCAUGUAUCUGUUUGUCCUCUCUCAGAUACUGCUUCUCUGCAUGAUGCUGUGGUACAGCACUUAUGGGACCAUCUCAGCAGCUCAGAAUGCCUUUGACAUGCUGUUUUACUUGCUUACCCCAUUUGAACAGUUUUUGUCAGAUCAAGGAGGGGAUCUAACUAGAAUUGGGAAUGUUGUGAUAUCGUAUAUCCUGCUGUCCUUAGUUUCUCUAGGACUGCUACUUGUUGGAUCUCUGUUUUGGCAUCUGCUCAGAGCUCGUCCAGACCCCCCCUUUCCGCUCCAGGAGGACAGACGCCAAUCUGUGAGCCGGCAGCCUUCGUUCACGUACUCAGAGUGGACAGAAGAUAAAAAUGAGGAUGACUUCCUAGACUUGGAUCCUGUACCAGAGACCCCAGUCUUUGACUGUGUAAUGGACAUUAAAGUGGAGACAGAUCCAGCUACUCUAACAGUUAAAUCCGUGGGCUUGCAAGAAAGGAGGGGUUCCAAUGUUUCACUCACGCUAGAUAUGUGUACCCCAGGCUGUUCUGAGCAAGGUUUUGGCUAUAUCAUGUCACCACGGGAACAGUCAGCGCAAGAAUAUCUCCAGACAGCAUCAAACAUUCUUACUGAAGAAGAACUGCACAAGAAAGCUCUGGAUUCAUUCAUACUCCAGGCAGAAUUCUUUGAAAUUCCAAUGAACUUUGUUGAUCCAAAGGAAUAUGAUAUUCCAGGCCUGGUGCGGAAGAAUCGCUACAAAACAAUUCUUCCAAAUCCUCACAGCAGAGUGUGCCUUACCUCAGCUGAUCAGGACGACCCCCUUAGCUCUUAUAUCAAUGCUAACUACAUCAGGGGCUAUGGAGGAGAGGAGAAGGUAUAUAUUGCUACUCAGGGACCGAUAGUUAACACUGUCAGUGAUUUCUGGAGAAUGGUGUGGCAGGAGCGUUCUCCCAUCAUUGUCAUGAUUACCAAUAUAGAAGAGAUGAAUGAGAAAUGCACAGAAUAUUGGCCAGAGGAACAGAUCACCUAUGAAGGAAUAGAAAUCAUAGUUAACCAAGUCAUACAAGCAGAUGACUACCGUUUAAGGCUCAUCACCCUAAAGAAAGGAGAAGAAGUCAGAAACCUGAAACAUUACUGGUACACAUCUUGGCCAGACCAGAAGACACCAGAUCAAGCUCCUCCUCUGUUACAACUAGUACUGGAAGUGGAAGAGGCAAUGCAGAAUGCAGAAGAGAAGAAUGCUCCAGUGAUUGUUCACUGCAGUGCAGGCAUCGGGAGGACGGGCUGCUUUAUUGCAACUAGUGUCUGUUGUAAACAGCUGAAGAGUGAGGGCAUAGUUGACAUAUUGCGAACAACUUGCCAGUUACGGUUAGACAGCCCCAUUCAUUCCUGUCAUCCUCAUUACUGACCAUUUGGAUGCAAGAGAAGAAAGAGUGAGAACAGAACAGCGAAAGUGAGGGCAGUAAGCAGAAGAGGAUAAAACCCCUUUGGGGCAGGACCAGGCAAAAGUAAGAGUGAUCUUUCUCCUGGAUUCAAAAAUCAUAUUGCUAUGAGAAAAAUUCUUGAGCAGAAGAUGAAUGACAGCAGUGUCUAGAGAUGCGUGAUAUCCCUUUGUAUUUUUUUAGAAGAUACAAUGAGAUACGUAGGCUAUGACAGAGACUCUUUAAUUGUUUUCUGCAAAUAAGGAGUCAGAGAACAUUCAUCUCUUACGCAGGCCAAGAAACAAAGGCCAGCUCCACAAGAAUACCAAAGUGUAUAUAUUAUGACAAGGAAUAGGAUUUCCUUGGGUAAAUGCCAAAAGAGAGCGCUCUUGCUAAAGCUGUAAUUUCUCCUGGCAACAAAGCAAAGUCUGGAGGUCACACGGUCGUAACAUUGUCCUCUUUGUUGAUUGUGUCUUCUAGAUGGCAGCUUGUAACUACAAACUGUAUCAGAGUUGAAGCCUGUACCCCUAACUUUAGGGAAGGUUGCGUUUUGGGUUGCCUUCCUUCUGCCUCAAGAGCCUUCAAUGAGAACACAACUGUGUCAUAGUUUCAUUUUAUCUGCCUUGUCAAGGAACACUUUCUAAAACUAGGGAUACUCUAUUUCUAGAUGACUAGCACCUAUAACUCAAAGACUAGAAUUGAGUAGUUUCUCUACUCCAACUCUCUACUCCAACUCUCUACUCCAACUCUCUGCACCAACUCUCUACUAGUCUUGGCACAGCAGUAGGUAGCAGACGCCCUCCUGGAAACGGGUCAUAUGCUUCCAGAAAUUUCUUCAGUUAGCAUAGAUGCAUAAUCUUUUCAAGUGAUGCAUACCAAGCUAGUUGUUGCCUUUAGGUGUAAAAUGUGUACUGAAUGGUUUGGGAGUUGAGAAUUUGUCUAAAUGAAGGGCAAAGGAGGGCUUAGUAAAAUUUAGAAGGAUAGACUAGUAAGUCCUAAUAUGUCUUUUGAUGCAUCUGGUUUUGACACCUUUCUUGAACGUUUAACAUCAGAGCAUCAAAGCAUCUUGUAGCACCACUAUGCAAGCAAGGUAGCCCAGUUUUUCCAUUAUGCAGAUGACAUAGCUGGGACACAGGGAGAGCAAAUUACUGGCCCAAAGCCUCACAGAAAGACUGGAAAAAAAUAAAGAAUUGAUCAGCACCCCCUGUGGAAAGUCAGCACAGUACUUGCUGCAAAAUCCUUUAUGUGUAGGGGUUUUAACUGACCAGGCAAUUGCUUAUUUAUCUGUUGUAUUCCAGGGCUUCUUGUUGUAUCCUUACUUUCCUAUUUCUGGUAAAUAAAUUUUUCAAACAACAUCUCUCUGUUCAACUUGAUUAACACGUUUGUUCCCAACCAAAGAGGUUGUUUUUAGGAGGUCUGUGCCAUAUAGGAGCAUUUUAGCAUGGUGACAUGCUCCUUUGUGAUGCUUGCUUGCUGGAGAAAAUAUUUCUAAAUUUGUGGAAAAGCCUUGUCCACUGACAACACCCAAGGGUGAGUAACAAUUAUUUCUGGUGAAAGCCAGUUCUCUACCUAGUAUAUGACAAUAGCUGACUGCAUUUUCAGGUGCUCCUAGAUACGUUCACCCACUAUGUGCAAGUAAACGUGGUUCAUCAUGUUUUACACAUGGAGGAAGUGGUUUGAAAAAAAAAAAAAAAAGAGCAAACCCUAUUACUCAUCCUUACAGUUUCUAGAGAUUUGUGCUGGACCAGUGGGAAAGGUACAGUUCAUUUUAUCAGCUGGAAAGCAGUCUUUACUGAUUCAAAGUCAGGAGAUCCUGUUUAAGCAAAAGUCAUGAACAGAUAAUGUGGGGCUGAAAGAAUGUGACCUGAAAAGACUAAGUAAAUAAGCUCCCAUUAUGUUCGCAUAUGAUGGAUCCAUAACUAUAUAAUGUAACAGAAAGAUUAUAUUAGCCUUGAUUAUGAAUCACAAAAAAAAGUUACAAAUAAUUCUUGUCAGUCUGCAGAGUACUUCUAAGGAACAAAUUUAAUUCCCAGAGUAAUGUUUGUGAUGUAUGUGAAGCCGUAUUAGGUACAGUAAGUAAAGUAAAGCAAGGUUAACCUAAUCUCCAUGAAACAAACAUUAAAAAUAAGCCCAGAGUAACAGGUCCUUUUUCCACUUCACUUAUUCAUUAAUCAGUUCCAAUAUUUCUUCCUGAAUUUUCAGGGGCAUUCAGAGCUGAAAUGAUUAGUAAACCAAAUCCUAAGGUAACAUGGAAAGGAGAGGGAAACUUUCCUAAGGAACAUGGAAAGUACCAGUAGAGGGACCCAGAGUGUUGUUCACAAUAUCACUAAGGAAUAUUGGUAACACUUUUCGCUUUAUUUAUUUAUUUCCAUAAUAAAACUUUAAAUAAGAAAAAGUUAAUCACUAUAAUAUUUAUCAGUAGCUAAGAAAAUGUCCCAGGUUGCAGUAGUCCUACUGCAGCACUGCUACUUGCCAAUACUGUUGAAUGUUUGUAGGGCAUUGUUUCCAAUCAGCAGCAAACAACACUAGAGCAAGAACUGCUAUUUUUGUUACUUGGUUAUGCAUUUAUUGUAGUGGGGCACUAAUGCCCCUUGUGUGCCUUUCAGGCAAAAAUAAAAAAAUAAACAGUGCUAAACCUCAAUAAUUUGUAAUAUUAUUCAGGACUUUCUAAUGUGACUCUGGAGGCUUGCCAGUGUGAUUCCCAUCUACAAGAAGAGUCUAAGGAAGAUCUGGGAAACUACAGACCCAUCAGCCUGACAUCAAUGCCAGGAAAGGCUACGGAACAGAUCAUCUUGAGUGAGAUCACUGGUAUUUGCUGGACGAUGGGGAAUCAGGCCCAGCUAGCAUGGGUUCAUGAAAGGAAGAACCUGCUUGACCCGCCUGAUCUCCUUUUAUGUAUUGUUAGCACUUUGGCAAACUCCCAGCAGAUGGGCUGGCAGACAAGGUGGUGGGAAGGAUUUCUGUAAUCUGUUUUCCCAGCAAUGACCAUCAGAUGGGGGAGCAUUGAGAUCUCUAUCUAUGUUCUCUGAUGCUAUGAAAACUUGUUUGGAACUGCAUGAAUCCCUCUUCCAAGAGAGGUCUAGAUAUCUCGAAUGUUAUAACAUGACAGUUGCUUAUUUACUUGGAAAAGAAGCAUGAAUUUUUUCUGAAGUGCUAUGUGCAGGGGACCUCCAGCUCUGAGGAAGAACGUAAAGAAGUUGGUGGUUGAGGAGAAAGAAACAUUGGAGAUCAUCCCUAAGAAUCUGGAGAAUUUAGAGAAGGCCUGUGUGAACUUCUCUCAUUUCUCAGGAAAUUGAAAGAGGUGAAGGAAGAAGUGGAGGUUGAAGUUAGUGUCAUAGUACCUCAAGACCCUUGACAGAGUCAAAAAAAAAAAAACACGCAUCCAAAAAGACAACUGUGGUGGAAGACAGUUACACAUCCCAGAUGGAAUAAGUAUCUACAUUUUUUUGCAGCUGGACAAAAGCUGGAUAUUCAAAGAAAUGUGAAGAAAUUGUGUCGAAUCCUGACAAGGUUAACCUGUAACAUUCCUGAUAGAAACAAAACCACUGAAAAUGACCAAAAAACUUUGCUAGCUGUGAUGUUUGAAAUGGGCCUGCUAAGGAAAAUGCCAAACUUCAUGUGGAAGUUCAAUGGGCAAGUGUGGAAGCAGGACAAGGUUACAGUUCAAUUCAUCAGCAAACCUGAGAAUACCCAAAGGAAGAAUGGAAAAUCCUGUCUGGAGUAUGUGCUGAUUUUGGAAGAUGUCACUCUGAAAGAGAUGAGGAAUUGAUGGGUGAUUGAAAGAUUUCAAGUACACUAGGAAUCAUGAAGGGAAGAGAGCAGAGCUUAUCAUAAUGUUGAUGAGCCAGUGACUCAGGAACUUGUAUAGGCAUUGCUGUGUGAGGCAGUGAACCUAACGACUGCUACAGCAGCUCCAUUGUAACUGGGAAGUCUGUUGAACAGGUGUCUCAGCAUUAAGGACUAAAUGUCAGGAAAGAAGCUGUCACCACCACCAGAAACUCCUCAGUCCAGAUUGGAGGUUCCCCAGAGCUAGGCUAUGUCACAGAAAGAAGGAAAAAGAAGGUACCUGAAGCAAAUGAUACAGUGCAUGUUCAGCCAUGCAGAGCCUAGAUUUCCCAGCACAGCUUUAACCACUUGUUGCAAAGGAUCCCAUCAGUGUCUGUCUUCAACUAUUUAACAUCCAGUUUUCCUGAACAUGUGUGCUAUGACAAGAUCUAUGCGUUUAUAACCAAAUUCUGAAGCAGUGUGGCAAACUUCAUCCUGACUCAGUAGCCUGCAGAAGUCCUGACAGUCCUCCACCUGGUGGACUUUUACAGCUCCAGCAUUUUCUCAGCCUGGCAGGAACCAAACAAGGAAGCUGUGCCAUCAGGAUACAUACUAGAGGAUAUCAGCAGAGAACACCAAGGAUGGACCAAGUGCACCAAGAUCCCUGUCUGUAGUACCACUUAACACUGCAGGAGGCUUGCAGGACAGACAUACCCUUCCAAGCUGCGAGUGAAGCCGGUGUGGAAAAAGCAAUGGAGUUACAGGUAAGACUUGCAAUAUCCAUCUAGCUGGAAUUCCCAUCUCUUACUGAUCCUUUCUUCUUAAAUAUACAUAAUUUUUUAAAGGGUGAUCAAAUUCAUGUUGCACGAAGGAAUGUUUAGUAUCAGAACUCUACUACUUCUUGCUGUGUUUUUAGAGGUGCUGGGAGAAAAUAGAGGCCAGCACAAGCUGUGCAGUUCUUUAGUCAAAUUAAAGGAUUCUGCCAUCCUUCUGGCUAGUCCUGAGUUGUUCCCUGAACAGGUAUCUUAGGUGCAAUCAUAGCUGUUACUUCCACCACUGAUGUUUCUCACGUAUUUCGUUACACAAGUCUAGGUUGGAAUAUUUUCUGAUUUCCAUCAAGGAUGCUGUAGUCUGAGUGUGGGUGAGGUGGGUAAGUAUUAUAGCAAAUAAACUGUCGUAAUUAUGAAAUGCUUGUUUCAAAUACAGUGGUACUGAGACAGAAUUACAGUUCUUUCAGGUGGCUGGUUUGAAUGAGAUGAGCAAUCAGGUGACAGCAAGCCAAAGUUUAAAUAACAUUGUCAGAGGUCAUGCUUCAAAGAUACUAAUCAAGUCUUGAGAAUUAAAGUAUUAUGUCAUGCUAAGAAAUCCCUAGCCAGCUCAUUAUUCAAGGUAGGAAAUUACUUAAAUCAUCAUUGUUUAGGAUUUAGGAGUUCUUGAUGAUGAAUUGUGUAAUUAGACUUUUUAUUCCUAAGAUACUCUCAGGUGACAGAGCAUGAUGCUGACUGCCCUAAGCAGCAGUAAGUCAUGUUAUGCAGCACUGAUUUCUGCAGAGUAGAUGGAUGUUCAGGCUUGACUGAGGGAAAUCUCAGAAGAUGACGCAGUGACCAAUAAUAAACAUCGUUGUUUCUACUCUCAGUCUUCACUUUGGAACUACAUAACCAAUCUGUGCUUUGAUACCAUAUUUCCAAACACAGGAACACCAAAAAAUCCCAGAGCCAAUGCAGGCUCCAGAUAAACUUCUCUGGUAUAGAAUGGCAAUGUGCAGCACUGUAAUGAAAAAUAGAAGUCAUACUAGAAACAGACAUAGAAAAUUGUUUGUGGCAAAGAGGAUGGGCAUCAAUAAGGCAUUAGAUCUGCCUCUUCUUUUUCUUUGCUCUUAUUCAAUUUUACAUGAACUAUUAUUAAAUGUUCCCAUGUUUGCCCUUUCUCACCUGAAAUUGGUGAACAGGUGCUCGUCACUAAGCUGUUGAUUGCUGAGGUAUUAUUGCUUUUUUUCACGUGGCCUGGGUAUUAGGAAAAUAGCUGGCAUUGCUCCUCUUAACCAACUUCAACACUAGUUGUAGAAAGUUUCUUCCUUCAGUCUCCAUUGUUCACUUCUUCAUGCUUGACUCAGCAGACUGAAGAAUGACUUCUUUUUCCGAUGCAGUCUCUCAUUAUUUUAAUUUUUUAAUUUUUUCUCUUUCUGUCUUGUUUUUCUUCUAUCCUUCAUAGGUUUGACCUGACUGUGAGGCUGAAGAGCCACAUGGUGGUUUGUGCUGGAACAGCACAGUGCAUUCAUACAUUUUUGUCCAUACAAACUAGCUUGCUCCUUAGAGAAAAUUUCAUUACUGUAAUGAUCUGGUGGGGAUGAGAAGUUUAGAGAUCUUUGCAUUGUAUUUUAUACAUUGCCUCUUCAGAGUGCUUUUUAAAACUAGCAACCAUAUUUUUUCAUCAGGAAGGAGUUAUAUACGGCAAGCUGCUAUCAGGUUCCUCAAGCCAGAAGAAAUCAAGGAGAAAGUGCUUUAAUUAAACACACAAAGACUCUGGAAGGGAGGAGCUGAAGUGAAAUAAUUUUGCCCCAGAAAAGAACACAGGGAUGGUUCCAAACAGGAGAAAUCAAUACUUAAAUCUGCAAAAUAAUUCUUAGAUUUCCUCUGAUCAAUCACUAAUCUCAGCUGGCUUGAGAAAGUCCCAAGAAACUGUGAUACUAAAAUAGAAUUACACCCAGGAUGAAGAAGAGAACUAGCAGACACAUUAUGAUAUCCUGAAAAAUGAUAUCAGUACUGCCACACAGUUCACACAGCCACAGAAAAGUCUACAGCAGUAAGUACACCAUCACAGGCCUGCUCCCAGCAGGGAAAUACUUUUUCUGAGUCAUUGCCCACAAUAACACUGGGGACAUUGACCCUCUGGAUUCAAAGAAGCUGUGGUACAUCUCCAAAGACAAAGGUAAGCAUAAAAAUUCAUGUUAGUGCUGAGGAAAAAGGGUGCUUUUGUACACUAGACUGCAGAGUAACGUCAGGCUUCCUCUUUGGCUUUGACCAUAUCACUAACUUGUUCUCCACCUCAGCUCCCCACCUAGGCAGUGAGCACAGGAAUUCCUUUUUUGCUGUUCCAUCUAUUUGAUAGCAAUUUUCUCAGCUCCAAGCUGCCUUCAACAAUAUGCACGUGUAGGACAUUGUGUAGCAGAUUCUAUAGAUGUUGAUUAAAAUUUAAGAUAGUAGAGCCUGUCCGAAGCUUAUAGCUUAUCAUGUCUUGAUGAAACAGACUACUGGCUUUACAAAUUAUUGUCUGGUAGUGUAUUUCCCAUCCAAGUGGGAUUUGUUUCCUAAAUGAGAAGGAUUCAUUCAGAAAAACCAAUCUGUCAUGUUUAGGAGAUUGCAUGACAGUCUUGUUGGGCAAGAAACAAUAGAAGUCCCUGGAAGUACAUGAGGUGUGCUUUUAGCACUCUCACGGGUACUGUGUCAGGUAAAUGUGUUUUCCUUUGUUCAGUUGUUCUCUGCUCAGGCCUUAUCAGUAAUAAGGAUAUCUCAUCAGCAGUAGUCCCAGGCAAAACUGAACAGGCCCCAGUUCAUGAAAUCAAAACAAUAAAUGAUCUUUCUGCCUGGGCUGGGGGAAAGCAGAAUGUAGUUACUUGGAUUUGUGAGAUCCAAGCCCAAUUUUUCAGUCUGGCUUAUUAAUGCAUAUAUUUUGUUUAUUAUUAAAACAGAAAUAUAAAACAAGGAAACUAUAUAUUAAUAUAUAUUACCAGGCUAUGCAUAUAUUUCUUCAGAAGCUAUCCACAUGCUUCUACUGGUCUUCUAAUUCCAUCAAGAGCAGUGGGAAUUACAUUAAAGAAAUAGAAUAAGUAAUACACUAAAAUAAGUAAUUGGGUAUCAGAGUGCUUAUUUUUAUUUAAUGAUCAGGCUUUCUUGAUCCAUGUCACUAAACCAUAGGUAUGUUUCUUCUGUUAUAUGCACUCCUGUGAAGGAACAUAUCCAGUUUGGUGGUUGUAGUCAUUUUCUUGUGCAGAAGUGCUGUAUGCCUGGGUCUUGUUCUAGGCCUGAACAACUUAGGAAACUUCUGCGUAUGUAACCAAGCAUAAAGGGUAGUGAAUGGAGAUUGUGUCUUUAGGGUACAUUCCCUUGGUAACAACCUGCUUGUCUUCAGGCAGGACAGCAGGACACAAGCAGAUGUGAACUGAUCUCCUAUUCUUCAUUCUAAAUGGCAAGCCGUUGGUUUUAUUUGCAGAAGCUUGAGACAUGGUAGAAAAAUCUCUGAGGAAUAAGGAAGAAAUAGAGUUGUUUCCCAAGAAUGGGGUCUACUAGGAGAAUUUUACCCUACGGUGCUAUAUUUAGGAUGCAGGGAACUUACCUGAUGGGGCCUCAUUCUAAUGCAAAAGAAGAUAAUAAAGACUUCAGAAAAUGUAUUUAGAUACAGGCUGAAAAUAGAUGUACAAUGGACAAUGGAAAUUAAAUUGCAUAUGCAGAUCCCCAUGAUUCCCCCUAGAGCAUUCUGUUGACUAUUAAUGCCUCAGAGCAAUAUCCCUUCCUUUCCAAGAUCACCUGGUUUGGUUUAUAAUUGGGUGUAAUUUAAUCGUGCAUUUCUAAAGCACCAUGGGAGCCAAAUAUCCCAAAGCACUUUACAACUUAAUGGCAUUAACAAGAGAAAGCAUCAAUAUAUCCCCAUGGAGCAAAAACCUGAUACCUUAUUUACAGACCGAGAAGCACAAAAAUUAAUUGCUUGCCUACUAUUGCAUAUUGGCUUGAUGGGAGACUGAGGUUUCUGAGUCUUCCUUCUCUUGUUUUUCAUUCUGUAUUUGUUUACAUGGGGAAUAGAUACAUUGGUCCAAUGCUGAGGGUAAUGUAGUAUAUUGUUCAUUCUUCCUCCCUGAGUGGGGAAAGAAGACCCAGGGCAUGAACUGUCAUAUCCAAGCUCUUUGGAUUUGCACUUACGCAGGAGAAGACUCCCUGUCCUGACGGUGCUGGCCACAUGUAUGUGUAUGUUUGCAUAUCUGUGUGCAACAGACAGUGUGGUAUAAAGCGGUCCACAGCAUCUCUAUUUCCUUAGCAUGGUGUUUUGAUCUCAAGAUGAAGGAGUGUCCCAGCAAGGACUAGCAUUGUGCUUCUCACCAACAAACCAUAGCAGGAGUCACAGCAACAACUGCAUCGUGAACUGCGCUUCCACUAACAACCCCCAUGCAGGAGUUACCCCAUACAAGGGCAAUAUUAGUAUCACGUGUUGCAACAGGUGGCAUCUGCCUGCUUACGAUCCUAACAACCUACAGCUGUAAGAUGGCCAUAAGUAAGUCAGAUCCACAGCUGCUGUGCUUCAGAUUGUGUAACUAACAGUAGAUUUUAUGUAUCUAAGUAUAGUUUUGCUAUUUUUCAAGGCAAAUGUUCUAACUGUGACUGGCAGUGCACUUCUUUGGAUCAUUUUGGCUCUUUUGCUUGCACAUAAAGUAAGCAAUUGCCCAGUUCUGCAGAUAAAGGUCCAUGGACCACAGUGUUUCUAAGAACUUCAGAUCAAAAGCAGCCUGUCUCUGGCGUUGUCUUCCUCUGAAAUCAUUAAGAUUUGCCUUCAGUUGUUUGAAAACAGUAUUAGAUUCCAUAAAAUGGCAUGUUUGGGCUAGCAGUCUCAAAUAUCCCCAGCUGACUCAAAAGCAAAUAUGGCCUUUUCUCAGUCCCUGACCAGCCUUAUCCUACACAUUUCCAAGCAGUCCAAGCUCUAACAACAGCUUUCUGCUUUUUUCACAAAUACUAAAGACUGCACUGGUUAAAUCUUCUCAUCCUGUGAAAUGCCAGCAUUUUGCCAACGUUUGCCAACAUUUUUACCAGUAAAAAUUUCCAAGGCAAAAAGUUUAAAAAAAAUAAAUAAGUUAAAAAAUCAGACACUGAUAUCCUCCCUUCACUUCCCUGCUUUUCUUCAUGCCAGAAAUUCCCACCCAGUGAACUUUAAGUCAAGUUGUAACACAGCAGCAGUGUUCCAGUUAGCUCAGACUGGCCACAUGCAACUGAGCAUUUACAGGUGCGUGGGGUGAUGUUUUACUAACAGUAAUGCACAAGCCACACACAGUUUCCCCGUGUCAUGAUGCUCAAACUUGCAGCUUGCAGACUGUUCUGUUCCAGCCAUGCCUGGAAACUACUGUAUCCUCUGAGUUUCAGCAGCCCCUGUUAUGCUCACCCAACUUAUGAUUAACCAGGGAUCAAGGUUAAACACUGGAGAGCAAGAAAUCUCCAUCCUUUUGUCUGCCAUGAAACUCUUUCUCCCAUUUUCCUUUCUAGAGAAAAGGCCCUUGUGCCUCUGGACCUUGUUGUUAUUCUUUACAGGGAAUAAGAGAGAGACACUGCCAGACACAGCUUGAAAUGAAACUGAUACAGCACCAAUAAUGACAAGCUAUAUUUGGAAAGAUCUUUUAGGGUUAUUUUUGUCUGUGAUCACUGCUUCUGGACUGCCUGCUGGCAACUGCUGAGGCCCCACACUGGAGGGUUCCAUCUCUCUGCCAGUGGGGAAGUAGCUCGGUGUGGGUCAGUGGAGGGAAAAAAGGAUGUUUGCGUGCUGUGUUUCCUGCUCUGAUUUUCAAGUGCUCAUUUGUCUGUUUGUGUAGGAUAUAUAUGACACUUUUUUCACUGAAGCCACUACGCACCUAUAACACCAAAAGCAGUUCUUUGCUCUUUUUUAGGAUGCUCCCGUAUUACUGGGUCUUAUGCUUCCCAGGUUCACUGAUGCACUCCUCCCUGAAGCCACAGCUUCAAGCCACAUCCUACAGCUGGAGGACAGUUUCCUAGUUCCCAAAAGCAGUGGAAUCUCUCCAUGGCCUGGCAUCACUAUCAGCCAAGCUGAUGCAAAGAGAACUUUGGCAGUGCUGUUCACUGAUGCUAAGGAAAGACAGGCAGAUUCGAGGGGCAGAACAGCUUUCUAUACCUUUAGAGAUCUGAUUGCUUGAAAGGACAAACCUGCCUCCCCACACAAAUCUUGUUGUGGUAAAAAACUGUUACAAUAGUAACACGCCUCUCCAAAGCUAUGCAAAGCAACCUGUUUGUAAGCGGUAGCUGUGGAGCAAGGCUUGCAAAAGCACUGUGUGGGUGAGGUGCUAAUUUAUAUUUGGAUUUUUAA